CCGUACCUGAGUAGGGUGAUCGGCUACACUGGGACUGAGAACACGGCCCUAAACUCCUACGGGAGGCAGCAUCUAGGGAAUCUUCCGCAAUUGACGAAA
RNAcentral lists this ribosomal RNA (99 nucleotides) under uncultured Bacillus sp. RNAcentral describes it as "partial 16S ribosomal RNA". Lineage: Bacteria; Bacillati; Bacillota; Bacilli; Caryophanales; Bacillaceae. The record is from RNAcentral.